CCAAAAAGGGCGAUUUCACUGAGAUAUUGAUAGAUAUAUGUAGUAAUAUAAUAAAACAGCAUAAAUUUUUUUUGGUAAUUUAAAAAAAAAAAAAGCAAUUUAGUUUUAAUUCGACAUCGAAAAUAUUUCAAGGGAGGUAACUCUGAACCGCUGACCCGCAAAAGCGAAAAUACAGAACUUCACAGCAGGGACACAUUUUGAUAAAAUUAAACGAAAUUUGUAGUCUCGGUGCGUCUAUGGAGAAACCUGAAAUGGAAAAAGAGUGGGAGAGUACACGUGGUUAUGAGACAACUUUCAAUAGAUUCAAUUACACUUCAAGCUUGAUGCUGUUAUGUUUUCUGUUUCCAACUGUGACAGAACCUGGAACAGAAAUAAAGUGUGUGACAAUAAUUCAUCAAAAAAUUUAGACUAAUACUCGUUCAUGGAUGCUAAAUUUGGUAGAUCUAGCCAUAAAUUUUUUAUUAUAAUUCAAAGUGGUAUAUAGUUAUAUUUAUAAUAAUUCAUUGUUUGAAUUUGUUUUUAUAAAGCACUUUAUUGAAACAAAAUAAUCAUAGCUGCAUUUAGUAAAUUAUUUAGCACACGUGUGUGACUGCUGUCUCAUGCCUUAAGUGUUUCAUCUGCUAAAAUAUGUUUUGGGGAUAUUUUUUCUGGAUAGAAAUUUACCUUUCUGAUAUUGUACGAGUGUUUGGACAUUCCUUUCAAAGGUGAAAUAUGGCUACUUACAUUGCUUUGUUUCUAAUAAUGAUAUUGAAGGUGUAAAGUAUGUAAAUAUUUAUGUAAGAAAUUGAUUAAACAUAUUGGCCAAUCAUUGGCAUUCGUUGUGUGAUAAGUUUUUACUGGUUUGAGUUAAAAGACUGGUACAUAUGAUAAGUUUUAUUGCAUCUUUUAUUGAAAUCUUCAAGUAUUAAAUAUUAUUAUGAGUCUAGGUAAAUGUAUAUAUAUAUUUGAAAUAUUUUGAAACAAGAAGCUUAUUUUUUAUGUAACGUGUAUCCACUUUCCAUCUGCGAUCUAAACCUUUAUGUUUUCCUUUUUAUUAUUGGUCUAGAUGUACAUUAUUGUAUAAGCGUAAAUAAAUGUGAACUGAAAAUUUUAUUCUGAUGUAACAUUUGCAUCAAUUAUUACGUCAUUAAAUUACGUAUUCCAAGAUUUCUGUGUGUUUUUGUCAUUUUGGAGCGGUUUCGAACCUACCCCAAGAAUACAUAUGUUAUAAGAAAUAAUAGUAACCCUUUAUAUUUUCACUUGAAAUUUUCAGAGAUGCAACAUUGAUAACUGCUUGUAACAUCUAUAUAAGCUUACAACAGAAAUUUCUCUGUUAUUUUUUUGGUUUACAAAAUAAUGACAAUUAAAAUCGUCAUGUCGGCCAUGUUUGGUCACAGAAGUACAAGGCUACUACGACUUUAUUUUGCUUCAUUUGGAUAAUAUAGUGAUGUUUUUUCAAUAAGAGCAACAUAUUUAAUGAAACUAUGACCAUAAAGAA
Gigantopelta aegis is the source of this 1477-nucleotide long non-coding RNA. RefSeq lists it as uncharacterized. The record is from RefSeq and is a predicted model, not a curated record. The transcript has 2 exons. NCBI's taxonomy places the organism in Eukaryota, Metazoa, Mollusca, Gastropoda, Neomphalida, Peltospiridae.